UGUCGAUAUCGUGGUCAACAACGCCGCCAGCUUCCCGGGCGCGCUGACGGUCGACCAGGACGUGUCGUCGUUCGAGUCGACGUUCGACACC
RNAcentral lists this transfer RNA (91 nucleotides) under Mycobacterium algericum. Its description in RNAcentral is "Mycolicibacter algericus tRNA-Gly". Lineage: Bacteria; Bacillati; Actinomycetota; Actinomycetes; Mycobacteriales; Mycobacteriaceae. The record is from RNAcentral.